AUCGGAGGCUAAGAAUCUCUAUACAGGCUCCUCCAGUCCAAUCUCUCCCCCGACCUCUUCAAGGAGGCAAGCCGGCUGCUUUUGGGGCUGAAUUGUGCACGCCUAUUCGAGGCUAUUUCCCUGCCUGGGGCCACCACUGGUCUUGCCCAAGCGGAUAAUUUUGAUGUGCAUGCAUUCAGUUUUAACGCUGACAAAGAGCAUAUGAGGCAACAGCGAAUUGUUCGAGUUGGCCUAGUUCAGAACUCAAUUGCUGUUCCAACGACUUGUCAUUUUGCUGAUCAAAAGAAGUCUAUCAUGGAGAAAGUAAAACCCAUCAUAGAUGCAACUGGUGCUUCUGGUGUCAAUAUUUUGUGCUUACAGGAAGCCUAGACAAUGCCAUUUGCCUUCUGCACGCGCGGAAAACAUUGGUGCGAGUUUGUUGAGCCUGUUGAUGGAGAAUCUACUCGGUUUCUUCAAGAGCUUGCACAGAAAUAUAACAUGGUAAUUGUUAGCUCGAUCCUCGAAAGGGAUAUAAACCAUGGAGAGAUUAUAUGGAAUAGCGUUGUUGUAAUUGGAAAUAAUGGUAACAUAAUUGGCAUUCAUCGAAAGAAUCACAUCGCAAGAGUUGGCGACUUCAACGAGAGCACGUACUAUAUGGAAGGUGACACUGGGCAUCCGAUCUUUGAAACAGCUUAUGGCAAAAUUGUUGUAAACAUCAGGCAUCAUCCUCUCAAUUGGCUUGCAUUUGGCCUCAAUGGAGCGGAAAUAGUUUUCAACCCAUCUGCAACUGUCGGUGAACUCAGUGAACCAAUGUGGCCUAUUGAGGCAAGGAGUGCUGCAAUUGUAAAUAGCUACUUUGUCGGAUCAAUUAACUGGGUAGGCACAGAGGUAUUCCCGAACCCAUUCACUUCUGGUGAUGGGAAACCUCAGCAUGCCGACUUUGGUCAUUUCUAUGGAUCUAGCCAUUUCUCAGCGCCUGAUGCUUCCUGCACCCGUCACCCCGUUAGUAUCUGA
RNAcentral lists this ribosomal RNA (993 nucleotides) under Triticum aestivum (bread wheat). Its description in RNAcentral is "partial small subunit ribosomal RNA". The record is from RNAcentral. Lineage: Eukaryota; Viridiplantae; Streptophyta; Magnoliopsida; Poales; Poaceae.